UAAGGCGGGGAUUCCUUCGGGAACCUGUCGCUUGAUGAGGAGCCCGCGUCCUAUCAGCUUGUUGGUGAGGUAAUGGCUCACCAAGGCUUACGGGUAGCUGGUCUGAGAGGAUGGUCAGCCACACUGGGACUGAGACACUGCCCAGACUCCUACGGGAGGCUGCAGUCGAGGAUCAUUCGCAAUGCGCGAAAGCGUGACGAUGCGACGCUGCGUGGAGGAUGACGGCCUUCAGGUUGUAAACUCCUGUCAUCCGGGAACAACCGUUUCGGUCUUAAUAGGGCCGGAACCUGAUAGUACCGGAAGAGGAAGCCACGGCUAACUCUGUGCCAGCAGCCGCGGUAAUACAGAGGUGGCGAGCGUUGUUCGGAUUUACUGGGCGUAAAGGGUGUGUAGGUGGUUCUGUGUGUCAAGUGUGAAAUCUUACCGCUCAACGGUGAAACUGCACUUGAAACUGCAGAACUAGAGUGCAGGAGAGGAAGGCGGAAUUCUCGGUGUAGCGGCGAAAUGCGUUGAUAUCGAGAAGAACACCGGUGGCGAAGGCGGCCUUCUGGAAUGCAACUGACACUGAGACACGAAAGUUGGGGUAGCAAACAGGUUUAGAUACCCUGGUAGUCCCGACCGUAAACGGUGUACACCUGGUGUGGGGAGAUUUGACCCUCUCCGUGCCGGAGCUAACGUGGUAAGUGUACCGCCUGGGGAGUACGGCCGCAAGGCUAAAACUCAAAGAAAUUGACGGGGGCCCGCACAAGCGGAGGAGCAUGUGGCUUAAUUCGAUGCAACGCGAAGAACCUUAUCCAGGGCUUGACAUGCAGCUGCAAAUCCGCCGAAAGGCGGAAGUCCUUCGAGGGUGCUGCACAGGUGCUGCAUGGCUGUCGUCAGUUCGUGCCGUGAGGUGUUGGGUUAAGUCCCGCAACGAACGCAACCCUUGUGUCUAGUUGCCACCGCAGGUGAUGAGCCUGCGAGCACUCUAGACAGACUGCCCGUGCAAGCGGGAGGAAGGUGAGGAUGACGUCAAGUCCGUAUGGCCUUUAUGCCCUGGGCUGCACACGUGCUACAAUGGCCGGUACAAUGGGCUGCAAUACCGCGAGGUGGAGCUAAUCCCCAAAACCGGCCCCAGUUCGGAUUGGAGUCUGCAACUCGACUCCAUGAAUGUUGGAUUCGCUAGUAACGGCGUAUCAGCUACGGCGCCGUGAAUACGUUCCCGGGCCUUGUACACACCGCCCGUCACAUCAUGAAAGCUUUCUGCACCCGAAGUCGUUGAUCCAACUCGCCUUUAGUGAGAGGAAGGCGCCGAAGGUGUGGGGAGUGAUUGGGAUGAAGUCGAAACAAGGUA
RNAcentral lists this ribosomal RNA (1333 nucleotides) under metagenome. Its description in RNAcentral is "bacterial SSU rRNA". It matches the Rfam family "Bacterial small subunit ribosomal RNA", at positions 202 to 1498 of the family's 1533-position model. The record is from RNAcentral.